This 271-nucleotide ribosomal RNA is filed under the name uncultured bacterium. Its description in RNAcentral is "partial 16S ribosomal RNA". It matches the Rfam family "Bacterial small subunit ribosomal RNA", at positions 67 to 339 of the family's 1533-position model. The record is from RNAcentral.
CGGUGAAGGGGAGCUUGCUCCCCGGAUCAGUGGCGAACGGGUGAGUAACACGUGGGCAACCUGCCCCUGACUUCGGGAUAACGCUUCGAAAGAGGUGCUAAUACCGAAUAUGAACGCGAAGGACAUCCUUUGCGUUGGAAAGUUUUUCGGUCAGGGAUGGGCCCGCGGCCUAUCAGCUAGUUGGUGAGGUAACGGCUCACCAAGGCGACGACGGGUAGCCGGCCUGAGAGGGCGACCGGCCACACUGGGACUGAGACACGGCCCAGACUCC